This 494-nucleotide ribosomal RNA is filed under the name uncultured Capnocytophaga sp. RNAcentral describes it as "partial 16S ribosomal RNA". The record is from RNAcentral. Lineage: Bacteria; Pseudomonadati; Bacteroidota; Flavobacteriia; Flavobacteriales; Flavobacteriaceae.
CACGGAGUUAGCCGAUGCUUAUUCAUAUGGUACCGUCAUCAAAGUACACGUACUCCUUAUUCUUCCCAUAUAAAAGCAGUUUACAACCCAUAAGGCAUUCUUCCUGCACGCGGCAUGGCUGGUUCAGUCUUCCGACCAUUGACCAAUAUUCCUCACUGCUGCCUCCCGUAGGAGUCUGGUCCCUGUCUCAGUACCAGUGUGGGGGAUCUCCCUCUCAGGACCCCUACCUAUCGUAGCCUUGGGGUGCCGUUACCACUCCAACUAGCUAAUAGGACGCAUGCCCAUCUUUCACCAUCGUAAUUUUAAUUAUCAAAUGAUGCCAUCCAAUAAUAUUAUGGGUAUUAAUCCAAAUUUCUUCGGGCUAUCCCCCUGUGAAAGGUAGGUUGCAUACGCGUUACGCACCCGUGCGCCGGUUUCUGCCCCGAAGGGCUUCUCCCUCGACUUGCAUGUGUUAGCCUGCCGCUAGCGUUCAUCCUGAGCCAGGAUCAAACUCU